GCGGUUGUGGCUCAGUGGUAGAGCGCUUGUCUUAUACACAUGAAGCACUGGGUUCAAUCCUCAGCACCACA
RNAcentral lists this transfer RNA (71 nucleotides) under Marmota monax (woodchuck). It matches the Rfam family "tRNA". From Rfam's summary of the family: Transfer RNA (tRNA) molecules are approximately 80 nucleotides in length. Their secondary structure includes four short double-helical elements and three loops (D, anti-codon, and T loops). Further hydrogen bonds mediate the characteristic L-shaped molecular structure. tRNAs have two regions of fundamental functional importance: the anti-codon, which is responsible for specific mRNA codon recognition, and the 3' end, to which the tRNAs corresponding amino acid is attached (by aminoacyl-tRNA synthetases). tRNAs cope with the degeneracy of the genetic code in two manners: having more than one tRNA (with a specific anti-codon) for a particular amino acid; and 'wobble' base-pairing, i.e. permitting non-standard base-pairing at the 3rd anti-codon position. The record is from Rfam by way of RNAcentral. Lineage: Eukaryota; Metazoa; Chordata; Mammalia; Rodentia; Sciuridae.